Molecule: microRNA precursor, 86 nt
Filed under: Solanum lycopersicum (tomato)
Lineage: Eukaryota; Viridiplantae; Streptophyta; Magnoliopsida; Solanales; Solanaceae
Description: MIR8024 microRNA precursor family
Rfam family: MIR8024 microRNA precursor family
Source: Rfam by way of RNAcentral
UCGGGGAAUUUGAGGACUUUAGCUUGCAUACUUGGAGGAUUUGAAGAUUUCAACUUGCAUACUCAGGGAAUUUGAAAACUUCAAUC